UACGAAGGGGGCUAGCGUUGUUCGGAAUCACUGGGCGUAAAGCGCACGCAGGCGGAUUGAUAAGUCAGGGGUGAAAUCCCGGGGCUCAACCUCGGAAUUGCCUUUGAUACUGUCUGUCUUGAGUCCGGGAGAGGUGAGUGGAAUUCCUAGUGUAGAGGUGAAAUUCGUAGAUAUCAGGAGGAACACCGGUGGUGUAGACGGCUUUCUGGACCGUAACUGACGCUGAGACACGAAAGCGUGGGUAGCAAACAGG
RNAcentral lists this ribosomal RNA (253 nucleotides) under uncultured bacterium. RNAcentral's name for it is "partial 16S ribosomal RNA". It matches the Rfam family "Bacterial small subunit ribosomal RNA", at positions 524 to 776 of the family's 1533-position model. The record is from RNAcentral.